UGUAUAAAGGCACCUAUUAAUAAGCAUACAAUGAGCAAUAGAUUUUGUAUUUGCAUGAGUUUUGUUGGGACCCUGAACAUCGAUGAUAAAAAAUAUGGAAGUUGGAAACCAAUUGAUGAAUAGAGUUGACGAAGAAAAUGAAGAAACCACGCAUGAAGACAAGUCCAAACGUUAAAGAAAUAAAUUGUCAAGCAAAGUUCAAUGGAG
Molecule: long non-coding RNA, 207 nt
Filed under: Panax ginseng (ginseng)
Lineage: Eukaryota; Viridiplantae; Streptophyta; Magnoliopsida; Apiales; Araliaceae
Description: long non-coding RNA (PGIN_LNC017394)
Source: RNAcentral